CAGCCGUGGGCAGGGGGCUCGGGGCCCCCCGGUGCGGACCCGUCCGUGCCGUCCCCCUCCCGCCCUGCCAAAAUUCCGCUCCCGGGGCUCGCUGGAUGCGAGGGGGCGGCGCAGUGCCUGCUUGCAUGGGAUCACAUCCAGUGCACACGGGAUGAGCUCACCUGCUACAGAUCUGCCAACGAACAGCGCUCACCGUCUGAAGAGAACGUGGACCAAGGCCCGGAACUGAACGUUCUGAUAAAAAUGGACUAAAAGCACAACCAAGGCAGCCACAUGCCCUAAAAAGGCAGACCCGAGGAGGGGCUAUGCUAAACAGUUCUUGGAACAGGUAAACUGCAUUUGGGAAAAGUUUACAUUGCAUAAUUGUUUAUGAGUAUGGAACAGGCUGGUGCAUUGGAAAUGGUAUCUCAAGGAUGUUUCCAAAACAGCAGGGGUGCUCCUGGCUGAGCGCCAAGACACACCCGGGGCUAUCACAUCUUUGCUCCAUGGUCUUUGUCUCCUACUUUUAUUAAACUUUGAAAUUUUCACAGGA
Vidua chalybeata is the source of this 532-nucleotide long non-coding RNA. RefSeq lists it as uncharacterized. Lineage: Eukaryota; Metazoa; Chordata; Aves; Passeriformes; Viduidae. The record is from RefSeq and is a predicted model, not a curated record. The transcript has 2 exons.